ACAAAACAUUAAAAAAGAAAAAAGAGACAAUCACAUUAAUACCCCGCCUACUCCCACUUUUUUCAAACUCUCAAUUUUCCUUCCGUAUCUCUUUUUGUUUUUAAACGGUGGCUCUUGUGUCUCUUAAACUCAAAAACUGAGGAUGGAGGGUUGAAGCAUAGGACGGGAAAGAGAUGAAAAAAGGUGGUCAGAGUGGUUUAAAGAGAAUUUAAGCAAAGUCCUGAUGCCGAGGCUGACUCUUCUUCAAAGUCUCAAAAGAAGAGAAAUCACGUGUAGUUGAAAUGGUAGGACAGAGAUGUAUUUCAGUCCUAUCUCUCUACUCAUUUCUCUUCACUCUUCAGCUUCCUCAAGUUUCAAAAUAUUGGGGAGUCUACUUUUGUUUGAUCCGGAUGAUCCGACUCGACCGAAUAAUAUUACAACUUAGCUCUCCGAAGUGGUUGGUGCCAUUGGCAUUGUUUGAGACAGAUUUGAUGUUUUGAUCCAUUUAGCUGGCCUAAAAGCUGUUGGGGAGAGUGUUGCAAACCCUCGCCAUUCUUUCAAUAACAAUUUGAUUCACACUAUUAAUCUUUAUGAGGUUAUGGCAAAAUAUGAUUGCAAAAAGCUUUUUCUUGAAGAAAUUGCUUGAGAUAUUCAUAAGGCGGAGUCAGAUUGGAAAAUUAUGUCUCAGAUACUUCAAUCCUGUUGGGGCUCAUGAGAGUGGUAGAAUUGGUGAAGAUCCAAAGGGCAUCCCAAACAAUCUCAUGCCAUAUAUACAGCAAGUAGCUGUUGGCAGAUUGCCUGAGCUUAACGUGUAUGGUCAUGAUUAUCCCACGAAGGAUGGUAGUGUGGUCCAAGACUACAUCGAUGUCAUGGACUUGGCUGAUGGUCACAUUGCUGCAGCCUGCUCUUCGGAAGCUUUUUACUAAAGAGGAUAUAGGUUGCCUGAAAGAUGAUGCAUUUUAGUUCAGCAACAAAAUGACAGUCUGCACAGUGAUAAAUGGGUAAAACAGUGGGUAUCUUUCUUCCUCACAACUCACAAGCAAGAUGGAGAUUGAGAUUGCAAUGGAGACAUGUGAAGGCUUUUCCAUUGGAUUUAAUACUCUUUUCCGGUUGAGACAACUUAAAUGUGUCCCUCAUUGAAGAUUUUAAAAUUUUUUUAAUCCAACUUUAGAGGGAACGG
This is an RNA transcript of Quercus lobata, 1159 nucleotides long. It is a transcript of the gene named bifunctional UDP-glucose 4-epimerase and UDP-xylose 4-epimerase 1-like, with no coding region annotated. The record is from RefSeq and is a predicted model, not a curated record. The transcript has 6 exons. NCBI's taxonomy places the organism in Eukaryota, Viridiplantae, Streptophyta, Magnoliopsida, Fagales, Fagaceae.